UUGAAUAAACCUGAUGUGGCUGUUAGCUGGCUUUUCGAAGCAUGUGCUCGUCCGUCAUCUUUAUCUCUCCACCUGUGCACAUUUUGUAGUCUUGGAUACCUCUCGAGGCAACUCGGAUUUUAGGAUCGCCGUGGCUUUCCUUUCAUUUCCAAGACUAUGUUUUUAUAUACACCAAAGUAUGUUUAAAGAAUGUUAUCAAUAGGAACUUGUUUCCUAUAAAAUUAUA
This 226-nucleotide unclassified non-coding RNA is filed under the name uncultured Laccaria. RNAcentral describes it as "sequence contains ITS1". The record is from RNAcentral. Lineage: Eukaryota; Fungi; Basidiomycota; Agaricomycetes; Agaricales; Tricholomataceae.